This 477-nucleotide unclassified non-coding RNA is filed under the name uncultured Acrophialophora. RNAcentral describes it as "sequence contains ITS1, 5.8S rRNA gene, ITS2". The stretch from base 167 to 320 matches the Rfam family "5.8S ribosomal RNA". The record is from RNAcentral. Lineage: Eukaryota; Fungi; Ascomycota; Sordariomycetes; Sordariales; Chaetomiaceae.
CAGAGUUGCAAAACUCCCCAAACCAUUGUGAACCUUACCUUCAACCGUUGCUUCGGCGGGCGGGCCACAGCGCCCCCCGGGCCCCCCCAGCGGGGCGCCCGCCGGAGGAUACCCAAACUCUUGAUACUUUAUGGCCUCUCUGAGUCUUCUGUACUGAAUAAGUCAAAACUUUCAACAACGGAUCUCUUGGUUCUGGCAUCGAUGAAGAACGCAGCGAAAUGCGAUAAGUAAUGUGAAUUGCAGAAUUCAGUGAAUCAUCGAAUCUUUGAACGCACAUUGCGCCCGCCAGUAUUCUGGCGGGCAUGCCUGUUCGAGCGUCAUUUCAACCAUCAAGCCCCCGGGCUUGUGUUGGGGACCUGCGGCUGCCCGCAGGCCCUGAAAACCAGUGGCGGGCUCGCUGUCACACCGAGCGUAGUAGCAUCAUCUCGCUCAGGGCGUGCUGCGGGUUCCGGCCGUUAAAAGCCUCUAAUACCCAAG